ACUUUCAACAACGGAUCUCUUGGUUCUCGCAUCGAUGAAGAACGCAGCGAAAUGCGAUACGUAAUGUGAAUUGCAGAAUUCCGUGAAUCAUCGAAUCUUUGAACGCACAUUGCGCCCCUUGGUAUUCCAGGGGCAUGCCUGUUUGAGCGUCAUUUCCU
RNAcentral lists this ribosomal RNA (158 nucleotides) under Saccharomyces chevalieri. RNAcentral describes it as "5.8S rRNA". It matches the Rfam family "5.8S ribosomal RNA". From Rfam's summary of the family: 5.8S ribosomal RNA (5.8S rRNA) is a component of the large subunit of the eukaryotic ribosome. It is transcribed by RNA polymerase I as part of the 45S precursor that also contains 18S and 28S rRNA. The record is from RNAcentral. Lineage: Eukaryota; Fungi; Ascomycota; Saccharomycetes; Saccharomycetales; Saccharomycetaceae. RNAcentral also lists the same sequence under 1 other name.